This 498-nucleotide ribosomal RNA is filed under the name uncultured bacterium. RNAcentral's name for it is "partial 16S ribosomal RNA". It matches the Rfam family "Bacterial small subunit ribosomal RNA", at positions 899 to 1397 of the family's 1533-position model. The record is from RNAcentral.
ACUCAAAUGAAUUGACGGGGGCCCGCACAAGCGGUGGAACAUGUGGUUCAAUUCGACGCAACGCGAAGAACCUUACCUGGGCUUGAACCGCACAGGACCAUUCCUAGAAAUAGGGACUUCCCGCAAGGGACCUGUGUAGAGGUGCUGCAUGGCUGUCGUCAGCUCGUGCCGUGAGGUGUUGGGUUAAGUCCCGCAACGAGCGCAACCCUUACUCGUAGUUGCCACCCGCAAGGGGGAACUCUACGAGGACUGCUCCGGAUAACGGAGAGGAAGGUGGGGAUGAGGUCAAGUCAGCAUGGCCUUUAUGUCCAGGGCUACACACGUGUUACAAUGCGCGCUACAAUGCGUCGCGAACCCGCGAGGGGGAGCUAAUCGCAAAAAAGCGCGCUCAGUUCGGAUUGCAGUCUGCAACUCGACUGCAUGAAGCUGGAAUCGCUAGUAAUGGCGCAUCAGAACGGCGCCGUGAAUACGUUCCCGGGCCUUGUACACACCGCCCGU